GCAACGGGAAGAAUUGCUCACAUACCAGUAAGCGAGGCUUAUUUAGGUCGUGUUAUAAACGCCUUGGCUAAACCUAUUGAUGGCCGAGUAUAAAGGCAAGC
Molecule: long non-coding RNA, 101 nt
Organism: Cucurbita maxima (winter squash)
Lineage: Eukaryota; Viridiplantae; Streptophyta; Magnoliopsida; Cucurbitales; Cucurbitaceae
Exons: 3
Source: RefSeq, a predicted model, not a curated record